CGACCGGCGCACGGGUGAGUAACGCGUAUCCAACCUCCCCACCACUUGGGAUAACCUUGCGAAAGUAAGACUAAUACCCAAUGAUAUCUCUAGAAGACAUCUGAAAGAGAUUAAAGAUUUAUCGGUGAUGGAUGGGGAUGCGUCUGAUUAGCUUGUUGGCGGGGUAACGGCCCACCAAGGCGACGAUCAGUAGGGGUUCUGAGAGGAAGGUCCCCACAUUGGAACUGAGACACGGUCCAA
This 240-nucleotide ribosomal RNA is filed under the name uncultured bacterium. RNAcentral's name for it is "partial 16S ribosomal RNA". It matches the Rfam family "Bacterial small subunit ribosomal RNA", at positions 92 to 334 of the family's 1533-position model. The record is from RNAcentral.